GACGAACGCUGGCGGCGUGCUUAACACAUGCAAGUCGAACGGAAAGGCCCUGCUUUUGUGGGGUGCUCGAGUGGCGAACGGGUGAGUAACACGUAAGUAACCUGCCCUUGACUUUGGGAUAACUUCAGGAAACUGGGGCUAAUACCGGAUAGGAGCUCCUGCUGCAUGGUGGGGGUUGGAAAGUUUCGGCGGUUGGGGAUGGACUCGCGGCUUAUCAGCUUGUUGGUGGGGUAGUGGCUUACCAAGGCUUUGACGGGUAGCCGGCCUGAGAGGGUGACCGGCCACAUUGGGACUGAGAUACGGCCCAGACUCCUACGGGAGGCAGCAGUGGGGAAUAUUGCACAAUGGGCGGAAGCCUGGUGCAGCAACGCCGCGUGCGGGAUGACGGCCUUCGGGUUGUAAACCGCUUUCGCCUGUGACGAAGCGUGAGUGACGGUAAUGGGUAAAGAAGCACCGGCUAACUACGUG
This 468-nucleotide ribosomal RNA is filed under the name uncultured bacterium. RNAcentral's name for it is "partial 16S ribosomal RNA". It matches the Rfam family "Bacterial small subunit ribosomal RNA", at positions 28 to 507 of the family's 1533-position model. The record is from RNAcentral.